UACGGGGGGGGCAAGCGUUGUUCGGAAUUACUGGGCGUAAAGGGCUCGUAGGCGGCCAACUAAGUCAGACGUGAAAUCCCUAGGCUCAACCUAGGAACUGCGUCUGAUACUGGAUGGCUUGAAUCCGGGAGAGGGAUGCAGAAUUCCAGGUGUAGCGGUGAAAUGCGUAGAUAUCUGGAGGAACACCGGUGGCGAAGGCGGCAUCCUGGACCGGUAUUGACGCUGAGGCGCGAAAGCCAGGGGAGCAAACGGG
Molecule: ribosomal RNA, 253 nt
Filed under: uncultured bacterium
Lineage: Bacteria
Description: partial 16S ribosomal RNA
Rfam family: Bacterial small subunit ribosomal RNA
Source: RNAcentral